CCUACGGGGGGCAGCAGUGGGGAAUAUUGCGCAAUGGGCGCAAGCCUGACCCAGCAACGCCGCGUGAAGGAAGAAGGCUUUCGGGUUGUAAACUUCUUUUCUCAGGGACGAAGCAAGUGACGGUACCUGAGGAAUAAGCCACGGCUAACUACGUGCCAGCAGCCGCGGUAAUACGUAGGUGGCAAGCGUUAUCCGGAUUUACGGGGUGUAAAGGGCGUGUAGGCGGGACUGCAAGUCAGAUGUGAAAACCACGGGCUCAACCUGUGGCCUGAAUUUGAAACUGUAGUUCUUGAGUACUGGAGAGGUAGACGGAAUUCCUAGUGUAGCGGUGAAAUCCGUAGAUAUCUGGAGGAACAUCAGUGGCGAAGGCGACUAUCUGGAACAUAACUGACGCUGAGGCGCGAAAGCGUGGGUAGCAAACAGGAUUAGAUACCCGAGUAGUC
This 443-nucleotide ribosomal RNA is filed under the name uncultured bacterium. RNAcentral describes it as "partial 16S ribosomal RNA". It matches the Rfam family "Bacterial small subunit ribosomal RNA", at positions 338 to 795 of the family's 1533-position model. The record is from RNAcentral.